Rosa chinensis is the source of this 2998-nucleotide long non-coding RNA. RefSeq lists it as uncharacterized. Lineage: Eukaryota; Viridiplantae; Streptophyta; Magnoliopsida; Rosales; Rosaceae. The record is from RefSeq and is a predicted model, not a curated record. The transcript has 2 exons.
GCCCUUCACACAAUAGCAUUCACUCCACAGCUACACCCACUCCGACACAAUAGCAUUCACUCGACCCCGACUCUCUCUUUCCAAAACUCCUACGCCGACCCCGACUCUCUCCCCCACUCCGAAGCCCUGAACCCCAAAUCCACCUCCCUUCGAAGCCCUGAACCCCAAAACCACCGCCCUUCGAAGCCCUGACUCUCUGCUACUAAUCCGAAGCCUUAAACUAGCCCGAAAUCCAAGAUUUGUCUUCGAUUCUAGUAAGUUCUCGUCCUCUAGAUUGGGUUUUUUAUUUGGGGGUAAAAAUUUGGGGGUUUCGGGUUUCUCGUCUUCUCGCCCUAAAUCCCCGACACUCACUUUUGAUUUUGGGUUCUUCAGAAAUCACAAUCACACUUUUGAUGCCGAGUUCUUUACUUUUUUGAUAUCGGGUUCUUCAUAAGGCGGCUAGGGUUAUGGCGAAGAAGGGUGUUCAGAGAGCGACGGUGGGAGAGGGGGAUGAGAUUGGGGUUGGGUAAGGGUUUGGGUUUGGGUGGUGGCAGAGACGCAGAGGCGUCGGCGGAGAGAGAGAGAGAGAGAGAGAGACGAAGCUUGGGCAUGGGAUUGGGAAUGGGAUUGAGCUUGAGGGAGUGACAUGGAGCAAAGAAGGAUUUGAAUUUGGGGUUGGAUUGUAGCUCUACUCUAAAUAUUCUUCCAUGCUUGUCGAUCAUCUUCUUCAGCUCAAAAUCGAUAGACUGGAUUGCAGCAACGAUUCUGGUACCACCAUGUGGAGCCUCAUUAUUUGAUGCUCGUCUAUUGGAUUCUCAAGUCUGCUCAUACUCUCCCUGAAAACACUACACACCGGCUCAAAAUUGGUGCUUCUGUAAUCAAUCAAAGCAGAGAGGUAUACCCUAUAGAUAGUUGCAUUCAUAAUACUAACUUUAAUAUCAAUAUUAGCAUGUAGUUUCUUUCUCUUUUAUCAUCCAAACAGGCAUUUAUUCUUGCCAUGUCUGCUUAGUAAUUGUGUUCCAUAUAAACUGAUAUAUAGUAAAGCAAACCAUCAGUUUGUAGUCUUGAACAAUUCAAAAUGUUAGGAAUUAAAUGUUAAUGUUGCCUUUUGGUUUGGUUAAUGAGUGAGGAAUUUAUCCUAAGGAAUGAUCUGAUUUUGCGCAAAAUAAGUGUUUGUACCUAUUGUUAGGAGAGAAUUUUAAGGAAAAAGGAGGAAAGGCAUAUGUUAGAUAGGUGCUUUGUGUAGUUUUUUUAAGUCAUGGAGUUGCAAUGAAUUCAUUUAGGAGUUGGUUCUGGUUUUUUUUAUAUUUGGAUAUGCUGCUGAAUGACAAAGUCGGAAGUCUGGAGGACGUUAUUUUAGCUCUCGGUGAUGACAUUGUAGUUUCUAGUGCUACAUUGACACUCAACUUUAGCUAUCGUUUUAAAUCCCCACUCAAUUUCAUGUCUUGCAUUGACAUUGUAGUCUCAAGUGGUAUGGUUGCAUGUGUUCUGGACUUUCAUGGUCAUUUAAAAAGCUUGCUCACACUGACCAAUUCCCAGAUUAAGUGUUGAGGUUUCAUUGUUGAUGCCCAACACAUUGUUUAAGAUGACUUGAUUAAAGCUUAACUGCAUAUGUUCAUAGGAUCAUCUUUCUGGCUUCCUCACUCUCUCUGGUUCUAUCUGGUUGAUGUUCAGUUUUUAUGUAAGUUUUGCUGCUAAUUGAUAAUUGGGUGGUUUUUGUAGAAGUUGAAGAUUGUGUGUUCUUAUAUGUGUGGUGUGGAAACCUCAAUUUGAGGUAUAAUGUGCUGAACUUUUACAUAGAGGAAGUGGAAUUACUAUAGUAGUUCCUUCUAAUUGAGUUUAAUGGUCUGCAAAUCACAUUGGAUGGAGAGUUGGAGACUCAAUUGGCAAAUUCACUAGCUGGUUAUACUCUAUGGCUUUUUGUGCAGAAUUCACUUGACUAUGCAACCUUAGGGGCAUCAUCGAAAGUUGCUGCCCUACCUCUAUCAUAUCCAUUCCAGGUGGACAUAUAUUCUUUGCAUUCCUUUGUGUGGGACUGGUUUUGCUUUAGGAAUUUGUGAUCUGGGCUGUAUGAUUUGUUUUUUGUAGCUAACUGCAUAUAAUAAUUUAUUUUUUGUAGUUUUAAUCACAAUUCUUUUCUAGUAACCCCUUCUGUCUUGCAAGAAAGUGGUUUGCUGCAGGUAGAACAAGUGCAAGCAGCUGGAAUCCCUUGUCUUGUCUCAAAAAUCAAUAAAUCAACUCCGUGAAAACUUUGUUUCUAUUGAAAAGUAUGCUCAUGGAAAAUUCUAAAGGCGUUAUGAUUGUAAGGAGAUUGUUUCUGUAGCUUUAGAUGCUUUUUAUAAGUUGUUUUGCAACAUUAAUCUGUUUCUGAUGGUUGAUUUGAGUGCCUUCUGCAUAGCUGAUGUCAAGAAUGCCAAACUUUGAUUGAAAACAUGAUAAGAUAAAGCUUCUCAGCAAUGCGAGGAAUAACUUGAAUACAACCUUAAAGGUUUGUGAACUUUGUUCUUAUGAAUUUUCAAUUUUCUUAGUUGCUACCUUUCUCUGUGUGUGGACCUUUAAGGACUCCAAUGUACUUUAUUUCUUCCCUGUAAUGUUUCUUUAUCUCUCCUUUGUUGUAUCAAAGGCUGCAUCAGUGAAGAUGAGAGCAUGUAACAUGUCAUUACCUUUUAUAUUUCUUUUGAAGGAUGAAGUCCCAACCAAGCCAAGAUUGCCAUCAAGUCCAUACCAAAAGCCUCUGAAAUCAGUCGUGCCACCACUGAUUCCAACUGAAGAUGAGCAGGAGAAGCAAAAAGAAGGCUUCAUGGGAACUCUUGUAAAGCUUUUAGUCGACGCCUGCGCAUCUGUUUUGAAAUUCUUGGGAAAAAGCAUUCAAACUAUCAAGAACAAGGCCAGCAGAAGUAGCAGCAUAAGCAUUCAAUUGGGUUCAUGUUUAAACCCUUAGAACAAUAGAAUACAUGUUUCAGUGUAUAAUGUACAGCUAUGCUUUAUGUUUUAAUAAAACAAGCCUAGUUUUGAUGCA